CCUUACUUCAUAGCAGGGGCAACGAUGCCGGGAAAGACUGGUUUUGAUUUCAAUGGUGCUUCACAAUCAUUCAAUGUCUUAGCUGAAUACCUGUUUGGUAAGAUAUAUAUGCUUGUUUUGUCGACAACGCGGGCAUAGUUUGAAGAAUUGCAGAAAGAAGAAUGAGAAUGAUAUGGAGGGAAGUUAUGUUAUAAUUGUGGGGAAACCGGGCAUUCAUUUUCUAGAUACCCCUUACCUCUUCAAGAUGGAGGAACUAAAUUUGGCAAGUGAUUCAUCUAUAACGAGACUGGUCACCUGAGCAAGGACUGUCCUAAGAACCCUCAUGGGAUUUAUCCAAAGGAUAGCUCACUCUCAAUUUUGAAGGCGAGGUUUAUAUGUUUUUUGCUGUCACCCCAGAAGCUAGCUUCGGUAAGUGAUCUAUCGAGUUUUCAUUGGAGUGGAGCCAGCUUUUGACCACAAUUGGUGAAACUCAUUUUAAAGAAUACACAAGGAAAACUAUAUUAGUGCAUUGUUUUCUUCGUUGUAGCAAAUGAUCUAUCGACUAUGGUGUCAAAAUCAUCUUCAGUUCUCAUUGAAAAGAGAGUUUUUGACUUACAUUUUUCAAAGGUCAUUUAGGUUGCCUUGAGGCUCUGCUUUCAGCAUACAAGCUAUGAGCUUAGAUCUCUAUAGUACUUGCCUCUCGAUCCUCUCAGUUCUUGAAUCCU
This 704-nucleotide long non-coding RNA is filed under the name Rosa chinensis. RNAcentral describes it as "sRNA RchiOBHm_Chr1g0341471". Lineage: Eukaryota; Viridiplantae; Streptophyta; Magnoliopsida; Rosales; Rosaceae. The record is from RNAcentral.